CCUACGGGUGGCUGCAGUGGGGAAUAUUGGACAAUGUGCGAAAGCCUGAUCCAGCCAUGCCGCGUGUGUGAAGAAGGCCUUCGGGUUGUAAAGCACUUUCAGUGGGGAAGAAAGCCUUGGGGCUAAUACCCUCGAGGAAGGACAUCACCCACAGAAGAAGCACCGGCUAACUCCGUGCCAGCAGCCGCGGUAAUACGGAGGGUGCGAGCGUUAAUCGGAAUUACUGGGCGUAAAGCGCGCGUAGGCGGUCUGAUAAGCCGGUUGUGAAAGCCCCGGGCUCAACCUGGGAACGGCAUCCGGAACUGUCAGGCUAGAGUGCAGGAGAGGAAGGUAGAAUUCCCGGUGUAGCGGUGAGAUGCGUAGAGAUCGGGAGGAAUACCAGUGGCGAAGGCGGCCUUCUGGACUGACACUGACGCUGAGGUGCGAAAGCGUGGGUAGCAAACAGGAUUAGAUACCCGUGUAGUC
RNAcentral lists this ribosomal RNA (465 nucleotides) under Vreelandella stevensii. RNAcentral's name for it is "partial 16S ribosomal RNA". It matches the Rfam family "Bacterial small subunit ribosomal RNA", at positions 338 to 795 of the family's 1533-position model. The record is from RNAcentral. Lineage: Bacteria; Pseudomonadati; Pseudomonadota; Gammaproteobacteria; Oceanospirillales; Halomonadaceae.